Molecule: ribosomal RNA, 396 nt
Filed under: Mycoplasma sp. 07SH-h
Lineage: Bacteria; Bacillati; Mycoplasmatota; Mollicutes; Mycoplasmatales; Mycoplasmataceae
Description: bacterial SSU rRNA
Rfam family: Bacterial small subunit ribosomal RNA
Source: RNAcentral
CACGCCGUAACGAUGGGUAUUAGUCAUUUGGAUUUAAGACUGAGUGAUGUAACUAACGCGUUAAAUACCCCGCCUGGGUAGUAUAUAUGCAAAUAUGAAACUCAAAGAAACUGACGGGGACCUGAACAAGUGGUGGAGCAUGUUGCUUAAUUCGAUAAUACACGCAAAACCUUACCGAGGCUUGCAAUCCUCCGCAACGCUAUAUAAAUAUAGUUGAGGUUAUCGGAGUGACAGGUGGUGCAUGGCUGUCGUCAGCUCGUGUCUUGAGAUGUUUGGUUAAGUCCCGUAACGAGCGCAACCCUUCUUAUUAGUUGCUUAGUUCUAAUAAGACUGAAUCGUAAGAUCUAGGAAGGAUGGGGCCAAGUCAAGUCAUCAUGCCCCUUAUGCCUUGGGCUG